UCUUAGCCCCUCUAGACCCCUUUAACCGUACUGAGAACUUCUAUAAUAUUAUAGAACCUUUUAUGCUAAAACUAGUAACAAGAGGCAACCCCUCUCCCCAAUGCAAGUUAAAGCCAGCAAGAACCCACCGCUGGUAACUAACAGAGCUGAACAAAAGUGAUAACUUCACUAGAAAACCCCACUUCCCACAACUGUUAACCUAACACCAGAGCAUUUCAAGAAAGAUUAAAAGAAAAAGAAGGAACUCGGCAACCAUUAGCCCCGCCUGUUUACCAAAAACACCGCCUCUUGCCCACAUAAGAGGUCCAGCCUGCCCAGUGACUCUUGUUCAACGGCCGCGGUAUCCUAACCGUGCAAAGGUAGCGUAAUCACUUGUCUUCUAAAUAAAGACCAGUAUGAAAGGCAUCACGAGGACUAAACUGUCUCCUUUCCCUAAUCAGUGAACCUAAUCCCCCCGUGAAGAAGCGGGGAUUUCCAUAUAAGACGAGAAGACCCUAUGGAGCUUUAAACAUCAUAACACCUGCUACUACAUCUUACCUACUCAGGUAUUUCUCCCCCCAUGGCACACUGAUUAUAUGUUUUUGGUUGGGGUGACCGCGGAGAAAAACCAAUCCUCCGCAAUGAAAGGGG
Molecule: ribosomal RNA, 630 nt
Filed under: Pristimantis dorsopictus
Lineage: Eukaryota; Metazoa; Chordata; Amphibia; Anura; Strabomantidae
Description: partial 16S ribosomal RNA
Rfam family: Bacterial large subunit ribosomal RNA
Source: RNAcentral